GACGUAGGGCGCGAGCGUUGUCCGGAUUUAUUGGGCGUAAAGAGCUCGUAGGCGGUCUGUCGCGUCGCUGUGAAAACUCGAGGCUCAACCUCGAGACGCCGAUGGAAACCAUCUGACUAGAGUCCGGAAGAGGAGAGUGGAAUUCCUGGUGUAGCGGUGAAAUGCGCAGAUAUCAGGAAGAACACCCGUGGCUAAGGCGGCUCUCUAGUACGGUACUGACGCUGAGACGCGAAAGCGUGGGGAGCGAACAGG
RNAcentral lists this ribosomal RNA (252 nucleotides) under uncultured bacterium. RNAcentral's name for it is "partial 16S ribosomal RNA". It matches the Rfam family "Bacterial small subunit ribosomal RNA", at positions 524 to 776 of the family's 1533-position model. The record is from RNAcentral.